RNAcentral lists this ribosomal RNA (252 nucleotides) under uncultured bacterium. Its description in RNAcentral is "partial 16S ribosomal RNA". It matches the Rfam family "Bacterial small subunit ribosomal RNA", at positions 524 to 776 of the family's 1533-position model. The record is from RNAcentral.
UACGUAGGGUGCAAGCGUUGUCCGGAAUUAUUGGGCGUAAAGAGCUCGUAGGCGGUUUGUCGCGUCUGCUGUGAAACCCGAGGCUCAACCUCGGGCCUGCAGUGGGUACGGGCAGACUAGAGUGCGGUAGGGGAGAUUGGAAUUCCUGGUGUAGCGGUGGAAUGCGCAGAUAUCAGGAGGAACACCAAUGGCGAAGGCAGAUCUCUGGGCCGUAACUGACGCUGAGACGCGAAAGCGUGGGGAGCAAACAGG